AGUGUAGCUCAGUGGUACAGCACUCACCUGGCACGUAAGAGGCCUUUGGUUCAAUCCCUGGCACU
RNAcentral lists this transfer RNA (65 nucleotides) under Heterocephalus glaber (naked mole-rat). It matches the Rfam family "tRNA". From Rfam's summary of the family: Transfer RNA (tRNA) molecules are approximately 80 nucleotides in length. Their secondary structure includes four short double-helical elements and three loops (D, anti-codon, and T loops). The record is from Rfam by way of RNAcentral. Lineage: Eukaryota; Metazoa; Chordata; Mammalia; Rodentia; Bathyergidae.